RNAcentral lists this ribosomal RNA (223 nucleotides) under uncultured bacterium. RNAcentral describes it as "partial 16S ribosomal RNA". It matches the Rfam family "Bacterial small subunit ribosomal RNA", at positions 30 to 244 of the family's 1533-position model. The record is from RNAcentral.
AUUGAACGCUGGCGGCAGGCUUAACACAUGCAAGUCGAACGGUAACAUGGGUGCUUGCACCUGAUGACGAGUGGCGGACGGGUGAGUAAUGUAUGGGGAUCUGCCGAAUGGAAUGGGACAACAGUUGGAAACGACUGCUAAUACCGUACUAAUGUCGCGAGACCAAACGUAGUGGGACGUUCGGUCCGACCAUGCCACUUUGUAUGAACCACUAUGGAGUUAG